This 2280-nucleotide long non-coding RNA is filed under the name Anser cygnoides (Swan goose). Its description in RNAcentral is "lncRNA (ENSACDG00005006001.1)". Lineage: Eukaryota; Metazoa; Chordata; Aves; Anseriformes; Anatidae. The record is from RNAcentral.
AUCAAGUGUUCCCGUACACCAUGUGGAGCUGUUCCCUGCAUCUCAGGGUGGUUGAAAGCGCACCCCCAGGCUGCCGGUGCCCUCGGGGCAGAGGCCUCCUCGUGUGGCUGCUCCUCGCCCUGAGCCAGGAGCGCCAGGCACGUGCCACCCGGUCCCUGUGCAGGUCAGCCCCUGCUUGCUGCCCAAAGGCGUUUUUGUUGUGCCCGAGGGCUUCAGCCCUUCUAAAUGCUUAACCACACGUGCCUUCUGCCCUCGGUAACGCUGGCUGCGUUUUUACUUCAUGUACAGUAAGUCCCUGCCACUCUUACAGCAUUCCCAGGCUCGGUUUUAAGCUGGCACCGCACGUUCAGGUAUUUGGAUAAUGGUCUUUUUAAUCGCUGCUUUUUGCACAGCUGUAAUCAAAGACAGAUUUUGCCCUUUAUAGCUUGUUAUUUAGGGAGCUGGAGCCCAGCCUGUGCUGUUGGUGCUAGCAGCCUACAAAUGCCAUUGUCCUGGUAAGCCGAGCACAGCCGGCAGCGCUGAAAGGCAGCUCUGGAAUUUCACUCGGCUAUUUUUAGUUGGUGGUGAAAAAUUGCACUUCCAACACUUUUGAGUCUUUGUCAGUGCAUAAAUAAAUCAAAGGGCAAACCCUGGCCUCCCGCUAACGAGCGGGGCGCUGGGGUGACCUUACGCAGCAGAGGCUGAGUGGGCGGAAGGCUGGUGGGGUGGCGGGGAAGAGCCCUCUGCUUUCUGGGGGGGAAACCUCGGCUCUGCCCGGCCGGCUGCUGCCUUGCUUGGAAGGUGAAGGGCGGCAGCACCGCCCGUCCUGCUCCACGUGGGCUGUCUGUGCCUGUCGCUGUGCUGAGCUCACUCCUGGCUCCUGGCUCCUCUUCCUGUGCCCCUUCCCAGGCUGGUUCCCUUCGCCUCCUCUCCGCCCCGCAGCGAGGUUUCCCUCUGCCUCCCGCCUUGGCUCUGCCGUAGCCGCCUGGCUGCCGGGUGCCAUGCCUGCAGGUCACCGCCCCAGCCGUGGUGGCUCUCUGAGAGCCAGGACCUGGAGAGCAGAGAGCAGAGCUCCUCAAGGAUGCUGGCAGGAGGUUUCUCUAAGAAGCUGCUUCACCUGUUGGACCACCAAAUUUCCGCACUGGCACAGAAAAAAAACAUCCUCUGGCAACAGGAUCCUUGCAGUCGAGUUUCCUUGUCCUGGUGAUCCCUGCCACGUGCCCGGAGAGCCGCAGGGGCUGCCUUGCUGCUCUCUUUCCCCUGGACUCCCGGUAGCCUCCAGUCGCCGAGCGCUGCUCUGACACCGCCCGGGCUCCAGCAGCCCCGUGGAGGUAAGCCGGCACCGAGCACCGCAGCUCCUGGUGCUGCGGACACCUGCAGGGACCCUUGGGUGCACGGGGACUGUGCAGCUGCCGUAGGCUCGCAGCCAGCUCUGGGCCACCCUGACACGAACACCAGGGAGCAGACGGGCACUUGGGCAGCCAGGGCUGGGUGUGCUGCUGGUGCCAGCCCCUGUCCUCCUCCUCCUCCUGGACUGGCAGCUGCUGGGGCUGGUGAGAUCCAGACACUGGAAGGAUGUGAAAGCAGAUGCGUGGGCUGGGGAUACUGCUGGGGGAUGCCACAGGAGGGGAGAUGACCCAUCCCGCAAAGCCUUGGCGUCUGAACGGGGCUGGUGGUUUCCAUCGCACUGCGCAGGCACUGGGAAAAUCCCCAGAUCUUGGAGCUCAGCUGAGCCCCGUGCCCUGAAGGGCGCAGCCCCCAGGAAGGCAGAGGAGCUUCACACAGGCUCCCAAAAUCCCUCUGCAUCUCUAGCUGGCUGCUGCGGGGCUGCUUUCAGCCCGGGUUGCCGUAAUUCAGUAGAAAAGCUCCUGGAUGCCCCGUACCUGUGUGGUGCCUGCAUGUCCAGGCUGUGCUUGUGCUCUGGGACAGCGGCGCUGCUCUGCUCCGUGCAGCUCACCAGGGGGUGUGGAAACAUCUCGUCUGGCAAAAGGGAUCACACCUAGGUGCGUGCAAGGGCAUUCCCCUGCAUGUGGCAGCGGGGGCUGCGAGGGAUGCUCCUUGCCCUCUGAAACAGCCUUUUACGAAUUUAAAAGCUGCCAUCCUCUCUCCCUUCCAUCCUUGCUUCUCUAGCCUAAACAAACACAGGCCUUGCUCAGUCCGCCCCAGGGAUCGGGGUGCACCAGCUCACCUCGAAGCCGGUCUCUGCCUUGGUAUCUGCUCACCUGCUGGGGUGCAGGAUCCGGCCAGGUGGAGCGGUGCUCAGGAGAGGCACGCUCAGUACGGCCUGGGCGCUUCUGGGCA